CGCAGCCGCGGGAAUACGGAGGGUGCAAGCGUUAAUCGGAAUUACUGGGCGUAAAGCGCACGCAGGCGGUCUGACAAGUCAGAUGUGAAAUCCCCGGGCUUAACCUGGGAACUGCAUUUGAAACUGUCAGGCUGGAGUCUUGUAGAGGGGGGUGGAAUUCCAGGUGUAGCGGUGAAAUGCGUAGAGAUCUGGAGGAAUACCGGUGGCGAAGGCGGCCCCCUGGACAAAGACUGACGCUCAGGUGCGAAAGCGUGGGGAGCAAACAGGAUUAGAUACCCCUGUAGUCCCUGUCUCUUAUACC
RNAcentral lists this ribosomal RNA (301 nucleotides) under uncultured bacterium. RNAcentral describes it as "partial 16S ribosomal RNA". It matches the Rfam family "Bacterial small subunit ribosomal RNA", at positions 510 to 808 of the family's 1533-position model. The record is from RNAcentral.